UAUACCUACGGGACGCAGCAGUGGGGAAUAUUGCACAAUGGGGGGAACCCUGAUGCAGCGACGCCGCGUGAGUGAAGAAGUAUUUCGGUACGUAAAGCUCUAUCAGCAGGGAAGAAAAAAGGACGGUACCUGAGUAAGAAGCCCCGGCUAACUACGUGCCAGCAGCCGCGGUAAUACGUAGGGGGCAAGCGUUAUUCGGAUUUACUGGGUGUAAAGGGGGCGCAGACGGCGAUGCAAGCCAGGAGUGAAAGCCCGGGGCCAAACCCCGGGACUGCUCUUGGAACUGCGUG
Molecule: ribosomal RNA, 290 nt
Filed under: uncultured bacterium
Lineage: Bacteria
Description: partial 16S ribosomal RNA
Rfam family: Bacterial small subunit ribosomal RNA
Source: RNAcentral